Molecule: long non-coding RNA, 206 nt
Filed under: Lathyrus oleraceus (garden pea)
Lineage: Eukaryota; Viridiplantae; Streptophyta; Magnoliopsida; Fabales; Fabaceae
Description: Pisum sativum (pea) long non-coding RNA (PSAT_LNC006169)
Source: RNAcentral
AAAAACAUGUUUACAGAGCCGCCACCGACGCUAUUCAUCCUAUGACGGAAAGGAAGCGCAGGACUAACCUAAGAAAGGGAAAAGGAACGGUCUUACGACCAUAGAUUACAAGGAACGGGAGUCGGUUACGCAAGGGGAAGGUAUUAGCACCCCUCACGUCCGCCGUACUCAACGGGAUCCACGCUUAAAUGAAUAGGAAAAGGUUG